GAUGAACGCUGGCGGCGUGCUUAACACAUGCAAGUCGAACGGAAAGGCUCCUGCUUUCAGGGGUUCUCGAGUGGCGAACGGGUGAGUAACACGUGGGUGAUCUGCCCUUCACUUCGGGAUAAGCCUGGGAAACUGGGUCUAAUACCGGAUAGGACGAUGGUUUGGAUGCCAUUGUGGAGAGUUUUUCGGUGUUGGAUGGGCUGGAGGCCUAUCAGCUUGUUGGUGGGGUAAUGGCAUACCAAGGCGUCGACGGGUAGCCGGCCUGGGAGGGUGUACGGCCACAUGGGGACUGAGAUACGGAGCAGUAGCCUACGGGAGGCAGCAGUGGGGAAUAUUGCACAAUGGGCGCGAGCGUGAGGCAGCGGUGCUGGGUGGGGGAUGACGGCCUUCGGGUGGUAAACACCUUUCGCUAGGGACGAAGCGCAAGUGACGGUACCUGGAGAAGAAGCACCGGCUAACUACGUG
Molecule: ribosomal RNA, 465 nt
Filed under: uncultured bacterium
Lineage: Bacteria
Description: partial 16S ribosomal RNA
Rfam family: Bacterial small subunit ribosomal RNA
Source: RNAcentral